Long non-coding RNA from Acinonyx jubatus (cheetah), 11206 nucleotides. RefSeq lists it as uncharacterized. The transcript has 2 exons. NCBI's taxonomy places the organism in Eukaryota, Metazoa, Chordata, Mammalia, Carnivora, Felidae. The record is from RefSeq and is a predicted model, not a curated record.
UUGAUUUUUGUGUGAGUUAUUCUGAUAGAAGUGUAAGUGGUAUUCCGCUGCCGUAUUAAUUCACAUUUUUCUAAUGACUAAUGAUGUUGAACAUCUUUCCAUGUACUUUAUUUAAAAAGUUUUUUUUUUAAUGUGUGUUUGUUUUUGAGAGAGAGAGGGAGACAGAGCAUGAGUGGGGGAGAGGCAGAGAGAGAGGGAGACACAGAAUCUGAAGCAGGCUCCAGGCUCUGGACUGUCAGCAUAGAGCCUGAUGCAGGGCUCGAACUCACGGGCCGUGAGAUCAUGACCUGAGCCGAAGGUGGAUGCCCAACCGACUGAGCCACCCAGGCGCCCCUCAUGUAUUUAUUUUCAAUCUUUUUAUCUUUGGUGAAGUGUCUGUUCAGACGUUUGAACAUUUUUUUCUAUCGGCUUGAUUGCUUUCUUAUUGAGUUUUCAGAGUUCUUUAUAUAUUCUGCUAUCAGAAUAUAUAAGAUAGGUGUUUUGUAAGUAUUUUCUCCUAGUCUGUGGCUUGUCUUUCAUUUCAUAAUGGUGGCUUUUGAAGAAAAGAAGUUUUUCAUUGUUCUGAAGUCCAGUUUAUUAAUCGUUUCUUUUCAUGCUUUUUGUGUUGUAUAAAGAACUCUGCCAAACCUGAGGUCACAAAGAUUUUCUCCUCUGUUUUCUUCUAGAAGCUUUACGGUUUUAGGUUUUAUAUUUACGUUUAUAAUCUAUGUCAAGUUAAUUUUUAUAUAAGGUGUGAGAUAAGAAUCUGUGUGUGUGUGUGUUUGUGUGUAUAAAUCCGUUUGUUCUCUUUGUAUUUGUUGAAAAGACUACACUUUCUCUUUUGAGUUAUGUUGGCCCCUUUUUCAAAAAUCAGUUGAUCUUAUGUGUGUUCCCUUUCUGGACCCUGUUGUGUUUCAUUGUCUACGUGUCUUUCCUUUCACCAAAAUCACACUGUCUUGAUUACUGUGGCUUCAUAGUAAGUUUUGAAAUCGGGUAGCAUGAGUCCUCUUGACUUCGUUCUUUUUCCGGGUCGUUUUGUCUAGUCUAAGCAUUCACAUUUUUAUAUUAAUUGUACAAUCAGCUGUUGAUUUCUUCAAAAAGGCCUGCUGGGAUUUUGAUUGGGAUUGCAUUGAAUCUGUAAAUCAGUUUGGGCAGAAUCAACAUCUUGACAAUGUUGAGCCUUCCUAUCAAUGCAUAUGGUAUACUUCUCCAUAUAUUUAGGUCUUUGAUUUCUCUUCAUCAGAGAAUACAGAUCUUGUACGUUACUGUUAAAUUUUUACCAAUGUAGUUCACGUUUCUUGGUACUUUUGUAAAUUGUAAAACAUUUUCCAGUUACUGCUAAUACAUAGAAAGACAGUUAUUUUUUUAUUUUUUAUUUUAAUGCUUGUUUGUUUCUGAGAGGGAGUGAGAGCGAGCACACGAGGGAAGGGCAGAGAGAGAGGGAGACAGACGAUCUGAGGCAGGCUUCGUGCCGACAGCAGAGCGUCCGAUAUGGGGCUCGAACUCACGAACAAACAAGAUCAAGACGUGAGCCGAAGUCAGAUGCUUAACCGACUGCGCCACCCAGGCACUCUGUUUUUAAAUAGUGAUUACGUAAGCAUAGGAUUUUAAUGGCUUGGGUGCUUGGUAUUGGGUGUUAUUUUUCAGAGGAAGAGUUGCAGAAUGGAGAUUUUUGUUUUUCUUGUUGGACUCUCAAGAAUAUCACCUCUGCCCCAUGACAUUCCCUAAGAUGGUCAAGUGUGAAUGUCUUCUACUGAGACAGAUGUGGCAUCUUGGGUGAGUUGCCUCAGCCUUUGGGUGUCAGUUUCCUGCCUGUGAAGCGGAAAGCAGUGGACAGAACUGGAUCAGAUGACCCGGUGAGGGCUCUUCUAGCCCGGAGUUUGAUGUUCACACAGGCCGCAGGGUGGGAGCUUCAGAAGGGCCCUGCGUCCUGGACUUAAGGAACCCUCUCCUUAUUUCACAGAACAGAGAGGGGAGGGCAUUUGCCCCGGGUCGCACAGUGGCUGACAGUGAAGAGAAGACAGGUCUCUUGUUCCCCAGUCCAGCCCCUCACCCCUGAUUCCAUGGGGAAAGACAGCCCAGCGGGAGGUGACUCCACAGCUGGGAGGGAGAGACUGGGGAGGCGGCCAUCGGUGCUGGCAGCCACGAGGCUGGCUGCCGGGAGCUGUGACCCUCAGAAGUGGCCAGUUCACGUUUGGGCUGUUUUCAAAGUAUAAAAGCACCGUGCUUGGAAAUGCGGGUUUUGGCUGACCUCACCCCGAGUGUGGAGUUUAAAGGCCUUUGUAACUCUUUGGUUUGGAACCGGGUCUGGGCAUGGCUGGGGAAAACACUGGAACCCAUUAGUGCGCGUUCCAAUUGCUCUGCCUCUGGGAGAGGGAAGCAGCCUCCUCUCCCCUUAGUCACCGCAGACAGCCCAGGAACCUGAAGGGUACGAGCAGGGAGGAGAGGUCAGGGGAGAGGAGGUGAGUCCUCGGCCACAGAGGCCCCAGCCUGGCCUUUGGUUGAUGGUGCCAGGAGCAGCCCAGAAUUUCAUGCCUAUUUGCUUUGAUUUUCAUGGCACCUCUCUGAGUUACCCCAUUUCACAGAUAAGAAACUGAGGAGAGAGGUUUCACUUCCUUGCCAGAGCCACACAGGGAGCAAGUGAAGGAGAUUUGACUGGAACCCGAGUUUUCCCUGAAGUCAGAAGCUGGUGGGACGGGGACAAGCUGCCGAUGGGCACAGGGUUUCCGUUGGGGUGAGAAAAAUGUCCUGGAAUUAGAUAGUGAUGGUGGCCGCACAUCGUUGUGUGUGUACUCAGUGUCACUGAACUGUAUGUUUAAAAAUGGCUAAAUGGUUAAUGUCAUAUCACGUGUGUUUUACCACAAUUAAAAAAAAAAAAAAAGCUGGUGUGCCCUUUUGCCCGUCAGUGCUGCCUCCCUCCACAGCAGGCUCCUUGGCAUGGGGGAGUAUGGGCCGUGGCACCUGGCCCUCCUGGUCGGUGGAGCUGCCCAGGGUCCAGGCAGAAGGGCAGGCAGGGGCUUUGGCCAACGGAUAGCCACAGCCAGGUUGGCUUUUGCACGCCAUUCCCCUCUUUAAGGAUAGAGAGAAACUUAGACCCUGGCAGCAUCCCCAAGAGGAUGCUGGGACACUGUCCCAGAGCUCUUGAUCCACACAAAAGAGGUGGGACCUCGGGUGACCAUGGCCUGCUGGCCACCAAAGCCAUGCCAUAGUCCAGGGCUGGGCUGGAGCCAGAGUGGCUGCCCUGGUGCCCACCCGGUUGGCCUCUGGUCUCUGUCCCUUGGUACUGCUGGACGUGAAGACUCUUCCCCCACCAGAGCCUUCCCCUUUGGGAGGGAAAUCAGGGAAGGAAGUCAAAACCUAAUUGCCCAUAUUUUUUAGAGAUGCAUAAUGAAGGAUGCGGGGGAAAUGAAAUGAGGGACUUCAGCCAAAACAAACAAGCAAAUAACUAAAUAAAAGGGACGUAAAUGAAGCAAUCUUGAUAAUUGUUGAAUCUGAGUGAGCGUUAGCUCAGGUUGGGUUCUUAGAAGCAGAACCCAAGGUGGGGAUGUGGACAGACGCGGCUUACCCGGGGGCACCUUCUCAGGAGAAGGGGGGUGAGGGAGGCGGGAUGGGGCAGUGAGGAUGUGGUCUCAGCUGGAGUCCAGCCUCAGCCUGACCCUUUGGGGAGUCUCCCCGGAGCAGGAAUUGCAACUCAGAGCUGGUCACACCUCACACCGGGAGGCAAGGGAUUAGCCUUUGUUCCCUGUCAGUUAGUCACUGGCUGUCAGCGUAUGCAUGUGUGUAAACACACACACACACACACACACACACACACACACACACACACACACACAGGUUGGGGGGCGGGGGCUAUAAAUGCCUGACCAGGAUGAUUCUCCCAAUAAGGGGCAUCUGUGAGCCAUUAGCAGCCCCGAUGUCCCAGUAGCCGGGCAUAGAGGGGACUUGGGUGGGGUAUGUAACAGCACCCCCUACAUGGAUAUAUGGGAGUCUCUUGUUACUAUUCUUUCUACUUUUGGUGUCUGGUUGAACACUUCGUUAAUGAGAAACAAGACAUCUCUGCUGAAACAGGGUUCUGAGAAGGAAGGAAGAAAAAGGGAAUUCCCGCCCCUUGAGUGCUGGCUUUGUGCCAAAGCACCUCACCGUCCUCUUUCACCUGGGUUCUUUCCCUGACACGAAUGGGGUAUUUGAGACUCAGAGAAGUUAAGAAACCAGUCCUAGGUCUACAGUUGCCAGAUUCAGCCAAUACAGGAUAUCCAGUUAUAUUUGAAUUUCAGAUGAACGGCAGCAACGGAUUUUAUUUUUAUUAUUUUUUUAAUGUUUAUUAUUUUUGAGAGAGAGAGAGACAGAGACAGAGAGCAAGCAGGGAAGGGGCAGAGAGAGAGAGGGAGGCACAGAAUCUGAAGUAGCCUCCAGGCUCUGAGCCGUCAGUACAGAACCCAGUGUGGGGCUCGAACUCACAGACUGUGAGAUCAUGACCUGAGCCGUAGUCGGCCGCCCAACCAACUGAGCCACCCAGGUGCCCCAGCAACAACAGAUCUUAGGAUAAGUAUGUCCCCCAUAGUUUUUGGGGCAAACGUAUACUGAAAAGUUAUUUGGUGUGUACUUGAAAUUCACAUUCUCACUGGGCGUCUUGCCUUUGACCUGAGAGCCCUGUCUAGGCCACGUAUCUUAUAAGGGGUGGAGCUAAGAGUUACACUCCAGUGGGCUGAUGCUAAAGCUUAUGUUUUUCAAUCGUGUCGGGUUUACCACUAACAAAAGGCUUUUGGAGGCAGAAUCUUGCCAGGGCCUCAUACGGCCUGAUAGCAGAGCCCAUUGGAAUCACGUGGUCAGCUUUGAAAAAUUCUGAUGCCUGGGCCCCACUCCAGACCAAUGCAGUCAGUCUCUUUUGGACACCUCCACCUCCAGAACUUUUUUAAAGCACCACCGGUGAAUGAGUCUAGCAUGCAGUCAGGGCCAAGAAUCACUGGCCAGGGCCCCCAGCUCUCCAUGUUCAUGAACGUGGAAAGGAAUAUACCAGAGACCAAGAGGGGGUCCGCUGGUGCCCGGAAAAUACCCCAGAGUCCCUGCACCGUUUCUUGGGCCCAGGAAUGUGUUUGGGAGAGGCAGGGAGCCCGGCCCUGUUUGUUCGUCAUCUUCCCUAAUUCAGCAUCCUCCCACGGCCCGCUGCCACCAGCAGGCGGAAGUGCAGCCUGGCACACAAGCCCUGCCCCAAACUGCCGGCACGCUGGGCUCUCUCAUGGCCCCCUAGCUUUGCUGUUCCCUCUACUUGGAAUGCCCUGCUGGUCUGUUUUUGUCCACCUGGCCCGCUCCUCCUGUUCCUUCCAAAGGGCCAGCUCACAGGUCACCUCCUCUCUGGAGCCUGCCUCGGCCCCCACAGCAGAGCCGGUCACCCCCUUCCUCCAGCAACUCAUGGCAAAGACUCCACGAUGGCAGUUCGCUCCUUUGCGGGGAUGAGCAAGGCGUCUGCUUGCUCCUCUCGCUGCCGGCUUGGUAUUGGUCCGUGUCUGAUGGUGGCUCUUGGCACCGCAAGGCCUUUGGUAAAUGGGUAUGGAAUUAGAGGGAGAAGGAAGGAUUUGGUUGAGGGAGUGGGGUCCCGUCUUCCCACGCCAUCGUCCCCAGAAAGGUCCCCUCUUUCCUGCUGCUCCUCUUUUUGGCUAACACUUAAGAUCAUUUGCCUGGAGCCUAGGCCCCGUGCAGCCCAAAGGUAAAUAGGUUUAUAAUGACUUGAGGGAAAAAAAGAAGCAAGUGAGCCAGGAAGUCGGGCAUUGCCAGCUGUGGGCCUGGGGAGGUGGAAAAAGGCCCCUGUGGCAAGCCCUGAGCCUUGGAGCUGGGCCUCAGUGGCCUGGGCUGAGCCUCUGCUUCCCAGAAAUCCUCUGGAUAAACACGGAAGGAAGUGAGGGGUGCAGUCUCCCCCCCCCCUUUGAAACGGGCCGUGGCCCAGAAGGAGGCUGAGUGGCUGGGGAAGGGGGGGCGGCCAGGACCCCACUUCGGAGAGGCCUAGAACGCCUGCUCUUCUGGUGUUAAAAGAAUGACUUAAAAAAAACUGUGGUAAAAUACACAUAACACAAAACUUACCGUUUUAACCAUUUUUAGGUAUAUAGUUCAGCGCCAUCAAGUGCAUUCACAUUAUUGUGCAACCAUCACCACCUUCCCUCCGCAGAACUCUCUUCUUCUUGCAAAGGGAGGAUGGAUGCCUUUUUCAAGCCUCGUAUUAGAUUCUGUUGAAAAUACAACUGAGGGGCUAUUUGUACAUCACUGGCUGGGGGCAUGGAUAAAUAAAGCAGCCCCCUGCCCUUAGGGAGUUCUCAUUUUUGUCCAUCAGGUAGGUCCAAGGAGCCAGGGAGGGUUAGAUAAGAGAGAUUGGCGAGGACACAGCUGAACUUGGGCAGCAGGGGGACCUGGCCGGUGUCAGGCUCCAAGCAGGGCACUGGGUGAUGGGACACAGGCCACUCGUAUAAAUAUAUCUGUUUGUGUAAUCCCCGUGAAAAUUGGCGGGUGGUGGUGCACGGAACGAGUAUCACGAUAAGCCAGGCAGUUCAGAAAUAGAAACACACCUGCCCAUUACACAGCCACCUUGCUCAGCUUCCUCUCUGGCCUUGAGCGUCUUCUCUUGUAUGGGUGUUUUCACACCAUUGUGAUGCGGUGGCAGAGAAGGUAACAUUUUCUUUGCUGUCUUCCUCAAGUAACGUCAUAUUAGAAUCGCUUUUUCAUGUUGCACCCCCACGCUUCCUGAUGUUUCCCAACAGCCCUGCCUUGCCCAGGGAGCGGUUCUGCCGUUAACCCUGCUAGGGGGUGAGGUGGGUGUGGGGCUUUGGCUGCAUGUGGGGCCGGAGGACAGGUAAUGUCCCCUGAUAAGGGGCUGAAAUGUGGAAGGAGCAGGCCCUUCCUUUUGAGCAGGGUCAUGGAUGGUGGCAGCUGGGCACGUUUAUGUGGCAUCUUUGAGGCCAUGCAGGUGCGUCCCUGGGCACCCCUCUUGUGGUCCUGUGUCACCUGUGGGGAGCUAAGACUCUCACUUGGCUACAGAUGGAACCCAAGUGUGGGUCACUCAACCUGGCGGCCUUGAGGACCCUAGAGGUAGCCCGUGAACGUCUGGCAUUGGGUGUCCAUCUUCCUAGGGCCUCAGAUUGCCCCUUGCAGGGCCUCCUGCAGAGCGAGCCUCACCCAGACUGUCUGGUGGACCUCACGGAGGCAGGUGGGGCUGUGCAGGGAGGCCAGUGUGCGGGGCCUCGAGGGCCCUUGGUGAGGGAGGGGGCCGGGGAAGGCUGCCAGUGGCGGCAUUUUGGUUAGCUUAAAACACACCCCGUGGCUUUUGUUUUCCAGAGAAACAUAUGGCCCAUUAUGGAAAAUUUGGAAAGUGUAGAAAAGUGCAAAGAGAUGCAGGGAAGGGACCACAGUCCUACCCUCCAGAGAUAACCACUGUUAACAUUUGGCUUGUUCUGUUUAAAUUGUUUUUUUCUGUUAGAAAAUACAAUUUUGUAUCCUGCCUCUCCCCCUUAGCAUUAUAUAAAUAUUUUCCCGUGUCAUUAACUCUUCGUAAACAUUGUUUUUCACGGCUGCGUUUUAUUCCAGCCUAGGGUUCCACCAGCGCUGACUUAGCAGCUGGUAAGUCGGACACCUGGCCCCCCCAGGUGGGAAGAUGAACCCCAGCUGUGAGGAGGGCCCUGCCCGUGGGGGUGGGUGCUGUGGCUCUUGUUCCUUGCGUUCUCUCUCUGGCCACUCCUCCGGGCUGCGUUGCUCCCUGCCCGGGCCUGGCCCCAGGGAGGUGGACGUCCUGCGUGGGUGGCAUUAAUCACCGUCUCCUUUGAGCUCCAGAAGCCCUGGGCAGGGAUGGUGUGGCUCUUCCAGGAAGCCUUCUCUGGUCUCCCCAGCCUGGGGUGGCAAGUUUGUGCUUCUCCCUGAACUCCCAGUAAGCAGGAGCCUUUGCACACACUGCCCCGAUUGUGUGGGUUUACAGGGUGAGCGUCGCCCCUGCCAUACUCGGCCUCUUCUUGCCUCACAGAGCACUGGCUUUAGGGCAUGCCUUGCCAUUCCCUGACUGUGUGACUUUGGGCCAGUUCCAUAACCUCUCUGAGUUCUUGCUUGGAUUCUUUGUCUGCAAAGCGGGCGUGAUAUUGCCCUGUUUGCUUGGUUGUUGUGUAAAUGAAAAGAGAUCAUGUAUCCCAGGUGCCUGGCACUGUCCGAGGGAACACGGCGGGUGCCUGGUAAGGGGUGAGGGUUAUUCGGAGUGUGAACGGCAAGAUUAUACUGUCGUGUCGUCUCCCCUAUUCACCCGCAGGAAUGAGCGGCCCUGUGGGGAAUGGCUGACCUGAACUGCAUUUGACUUAGCUAGAGUUGAAUGAACUAUCUUUGCUCCCUUUUUCUUCUGCCCACACUUUGGUUGGGGAAACUGAGGCCACCCUGAAGUUCCGCCUACACUCCGUGACUCUUGGCAGAUCUCUUGAGGGUGGCUUAGGAAAAGGUCUGUGGGGAUUCAGGAACACACUGGAUACAUCAGUUGGUGAGCCAGGGAAAUUAGCAGUAACGAGCUCAUUUCGAUAGCAAUGAGCUGAGUCUCCCUCCAGCUGCCAGACAUUUAUGAGGCUGGCUGGGUGCCGGCGGCCGGAGGCCUCCAGUGGCCCUCAUCCCUCUGCCUUCCGGCUGGAAAUAAUUCGUAUUUAAAAAAUAACAAUAAUAAAAAAAAAUCUCCAUCUCCUCUGGCUUUCUGAGUCCUUCAGGCCCAGGUGGGGAGGUGGUGGAUGUCUUUGUGAACUCUGUGUGGAGCAGUCGGACAGGAAAGGUCCCCCAGCUUCCCCUCCCUCAUCUGCCAAAAGGUCCGGCCGCUACACCCUUUUGAGCAGACUUGCCAGGGGACUUUGCCUCGCAGGGCCCCUCUGCAGCAGACCCCGCUCUUGGCGAGGGGAGGGUGGUUAGGAUUUCAGUAGGACCCUGCAACAGCUUUGGGUCUUUUUUCCUGCUCAGGGCCUCAGUUUCCCCAUUUGUAAAGUGAAGGAAGAGAUAGGCAGCACGCUGUUUAGGUUUCAGACCCAGAAUUCUAUGGAAAAUGGGGGUCCUGGGGUUGAGAGUUUCCAGUCCUGUCCGGGAACCAGAAUUACCUGCGGCAUGUGUUAGAUGCAGCUUCCCAGGCCUGCUGAGUCAGAAUCUCCAGGGUAGGGCCCAGCAGUGUACAUUUCUGGGGCAAUUUUUAAAACUGAUACUAAAUUCAAGUAACCUAACACACAAUUCACCAUGUUGAAGCGUGCCAUUCAUUGGUUCUUGGUAUAUUUUCAGUGUUAGGCAACAUCGCCACUGUGGAAGGGAAUGUACAUUUUGCAUAAGUGCCCCAAGAGAUGCUGAUGCCACCCAUCCCUCUGGGGACCUCUGCCAGCGAGUGUCCCUGAGGUGUUGAUUCGGACCCUUGGAUACCAGGCAGUGAGGCCGCUCCUUGCUCUAGUUUCCUGCGGAAGGAAUCCGGUGUCCGGGAUCUCUGAAGUGAGAUGAGGGGUAUCCUGGAAGAGAAGGCCAGGUUGCAGGAGAGGGAGUCCUGUUUCCUCACAACUUUGGAGGGGAGCAGAGGCUCCUCCCCCAUCACUGUCCAGGGCACCCCAUACCUUACAAGCCAGUGAGCACUCACUCGGAUCUGAUGACCCUUUAAACUCCCAGCUUGGGAUUCUGAGGGUGGCCUGGGCUGCUUUGGGCUCACAGCCAGGAUGUUUGCACAGUGGUGGCCCACGAGGCUCCUUCCACCCCCAGGGACACACUUCUCCUCUUUCUCAGCCCACCUCUGCAGGUGUCGGCAUCCCUUUACCGCCCUGACCACGCACCCCAGCUCCAGGCACUAGGGGCUGAGGCAUUGGUCCUUGUGAACCACGCAUGCCACAUCCUCUGUGAAUUCUCCUCCAAGCAGUUUGGGGCAUUUGGGAACUUCACCCCCGAGCAGACAGGCCUUUGAGAGGGCCCCAGAGUCUGGGGUGGGGGGGGGGGAGGGGCAAGUGACCGUAAUACCCACCUUGUCAGUGAAGGGGACAAGUUCUCUCCCUGUGUGCCCUCAGCUUCCUGUCCAUAGCCGGAAGCGUCUGCCCUGAGGGUGUGUCUGGCAGACUUGGGCAGGCCACGCCCCCUCAGGCAGUGAGACCCUGCACAAGGUCCUCUGCGGCCCUGUUAUUUGUGGCCUUGAGGCUCCCUGGGGUGUCCAGCCGAGACAGUAAUUGGUAUUCCCAAGAAUGGGACUCAGCCCAUAGCACUCUUGCUCGUUGACCCUUCCUCUGGGAAAGGGGUGGCUGGACGGCUCUGUGUCCCCUGCCUGAUGCAGCUCCUGGCUCUCAGGGUCACCAUUGGUAUUUCUGACCCUGUCCACAGUCAGCACCUCCUCCUGAGCCCCCAGCCUUACUUAAGGAAGCCCCGUGGAUCAGUAGACACGGCUUUUGCCUCUGACUGACCGCUGGGCUCUUUGGCCCGAGACCUGGCUUUGCUUCUGGGCUUGGGUGCUUUUACUGAGUUCUUGCCUAAAUCGUCUGCUCUGAAAUUCUUUUCUUGGGAGCUCUGGCGGGUCUGGCAGUCCCGAGUGGCUGCCCCUCCGUGGUUAGCAUGUAGUGGGCCACGCUCCUGUGUGACCUUUCCCUCAGUGUGCCUCAGUUUCUACAUAGGACGUAACUGUUCCUUUCUAGCCCUGCCCUGCCAUGAGUCACCCCUGCCCUGGAUGUGGCAGCUACCCAGGGAAGGCUGAGUGAAUGAAUGGAUGCACUCGCCAGCCAGAGACCCUGCCGUGCCUUAUUCCUGUGGGAUUCUGAGAGUCCCCUGCAGUUUGCAGUGAGAACGUAGCAGCUGAGAGUUCACUUUCUUAGAAGGGUUGGUGGCUCUGUAGUGGGGCAGUUUUUUCCAAGGUCCCACCCAACGCCCCGCUCCCAGCCAAGCCCACAAGGUUGACUUGGGUGGCAUUCUCUUGGGGUGGCUGAUGGUAGGGCUUGGAUGGUGAGCAGAGGCUUCUGGGCUGGCACGGAGUCAGUUUCUGCAUCUGACAGUGGGUAGCUACCUGCAAGGGCUUUUGUGAGUGUGAAACGAGAUGAUGUUGCUACCACCUGAGCAGAUACUGUCUUCCUAGCCAUCCAUGUCACCGGUGUCCUUGUUAAGCAGAUGAGCGAAGAGGAGGCUCCCAAAGAGGUCCAGUGGCUUGGUCAUACAGCUGGUUAGUGAAGGGACCAGGCACAAGUUCUGCCCGAUGCAAAGCACAUCCUCUUUCUUGCCUUUUUUU